This 446-nucleotide ribosomal RNA is filed under the name uncultured bacterium. RNAcentral's name for it is "partial 16S ribosomal RNA". It matches the Rfam family "Bacterial small subunit ribosomal RNA", at positions 338 to 795 of the family's 1533-position model. The record is from RNAcentral.
CCUACGGGUGGCAGCAGUCGAGAAUCAUUCACAAUGGGGGAAACCCUGAUGGUGCGACGCCGCGUGGGGGAAUGAAGGUCUUCGGAUUGUAAACCCCUGUCAUGUGGGAGCAAAUUAAAAAGAUAGUACCACAAGAGGAAGAGACGGCUAACUCUGUGCCAGCAGCCGCGGUAAUACAGAGGUCUCAAGCGUUGUUCGGAAUCACUGGGUGUAAAGCGUGCGUAGGCUGUUUCGUAAGUCGUGUGUGAAAGGCGCGGGCUCAACCCGCGGACGGCACAUGAUACUGCGAGACUAGAGUAAGGGAGGGGGAACCGGAAUUCUCGGUGUAGCAGUGAAAUGCGUAGAUAUCGAGAGGAACACUCGUGGCGAAGGCGGGUUCCUGGACAUUAACUGACGCUGAGGCACGAAGGCCAGGGGAGCGAAAGGGAUUAGAUACCCCAGUAGUC